This 1252-nucleotide ribosomal RNA is filed under the name Pediococcus pentosaceus. RNAcentral describes it as "bacterial SSU rRNA". It matches the Rfam family "Bacterial small subunit ribosomal RNA", at positions 59 to 1295 of the family's 1533-position model. The record is from RNAcentral. Lineage: Bacteria; Bacillati; Bacillota; Bacilli; Lactobacillales; Lactobacillaceae.
AUGACGUACUUGUACUGAUUGAGAUUUUAACACGAAGUGAGUGGCGAACGGGUGAGUAACACGUGGGUAACCUGCCCAGAAGUAGGGGAUAACACCUGGAAACAGAUGCUAAUACCGUAUAACAGAGAAAACCGCAUGGUUUUCUUUUAAAAGAUGGCUCUGCUAUCACUUCUGGAUGGACCCGCGGCGUAUUAGCUAGUUGGUGAGGUAAAGGCUCACCAAGGCAGUGAUACGUAGCCGACCUGAGAGGGUAAUCGGCCACAUUGGGACUGAGACACGGCCCAGACUCCUACGGGAGGCAGCAGUAGGGAAUCUUCCACAAUGGACGCAAGUCUGAUGGAGCAACGCCGCGUGAGUGAAGAAGGGUUUCGGCUCGUAAAGCUCUGUUGUUAAAGAAGAACGUGGGUAAGAGUAACUGUUUACCCAGUGACGGUAUUUAACCAGAAAGCCACGGCUAACUACGUGCCAGCAGCCGCGGUAAUACGUAGGUGGCAAGCGUUAUCCGGAUUUAUUGGGCGUAAAGCGAGCGCAGGCGGUCUUUUAAGUCUAAUGUGAAAGCCUUCGGCUCAACCGAAGAAGUGCAUUGGAAACUGGGAGACUUGAGUGCAGAAGAGGACAGUGGAACUCCAUGUGUAGCGGUGAAAUGCGUAGAUAUAUGGAAGAACACCAGUGGCGAAGGCGGCUGUCUGGUCUGCAACUGACGCUGAGGCUCGAAAGCAUGGGUAGCGAACAGGAUUAGAUACCCUGGUAGUCCAUGCCGUAAACGAUGAUUACUAAGUGUUGGAGGGUUUCCGCCCUUCAGUGCUGCAGCUAACGCAUUAAGUAAUCCGCCUGGGGAGUACGACCGCAAGGUUGAAACUCAAAAGAAUUGACGGGGGCCCGCACAAGCGGUGGAGCAUGUGGUUUAAUUCGAAGCUACGCGAAGAACCUUACCAGGUCUUGACAUCUUCUGACAGUCUAAGAGAUUAGAGGUUCCCUUCGGGGACAGAAUGACAGGUGGUGCAUGGUUGUCGUCAGCUCGUGUCGUGAGAUGUUGGGUUAAGUCCCGCAACGAGCGCAACCCUUAUUACUAGUUGCCAGCAUUAAGUUGGGCACUCUAGUGAGACUGCCGGUGACAAACCGGAGGAAGGUGGGGACGACGUCAAAUCAUCAUGCCCCUUAUGACCUGGGCUACACACGUGCUACAAUGGAUGGUACAACGAGUCGCGAGACCGCGAGGUUAAGCUAAUCUCUUAAAACCAUUCUCAGUUCG